This 836-nucleotide ribosomal RNA is filed under the name uncultured bacterium. RNAcentral's name for it is "bacterial SSU rRNA". It matches the Rfam family "Bacterial small subunit ribosomal RNA", at positions 8 to 860 of the family's 1533-position model. The record is from RNAcentral.
AGAGUUUGAUCAUGGCUCAGGACGAACGCUGGCGGCGUGCUUAACACAUGCAAGUCGAGCGAUGAAGCACCUUCGGGUGUGAAUUAGCGGCGAACGGGUGAGGAACACGUGAGAAAUCUGCCUUCAACACUGGGAUAACUCCGGGAAACCGGGGCUAAUACCGGAUAUGAAAUCUGCGGGCAUCCGCGGAUUUGGAAAGUUUUUCGGUUGAAGAUGAUCUCGCGGCCUAUCAGCUUGUUGGUGAGGUAAUGGCUCACCAAGGCGACGACGGGUAGCCGGCCUGAGAGGGCGACCGGCCACACUGGGACUGAGACACGGCCCAGACUCCUACGGGAGGCAGCAGUGGGGAAUAUUGGGCAAUGGAGGAAACUCUGACCCAGCGACGCCGCGUGAGGGAUGAAGGCCUUCGGGUUGUAAACCUCUUUCAGUAGGGAAGAAGCGAAAGUGACGGUACCUACAGAAGAAGCACCGGCUAACUAUGUGCCAGCAGCCGCGGUAAUACAUAGGGUGCAAGCGUUGUCCGGAAUUAUUGGGCGUAAAGAGCUCGUAGGUGGUUCGAUACGUCGGAUGUGAAAAUCAGGGGCUCAACCCCUGACCUGCAUCCGAUACGGUCGAGCUAGAGUUUGGUAGGGGAGACUGGAAUUCCUGGUGUAGCGGUGGAAUGCGCAGAUAUCAGGAGGAACACCGAUGGCGAAGGCAGGUCUCUGGGCCAAUACUGACACUGAGGAGCGAAAGCGUGGGGAGCGAACAGGAUUAGAUACCCUGGUAGUCCACGCCGUAAACGGUGGGCGCUAGUUGUGCGAACCUUCCACGGUUUGUGCGACGCAGUAACGCAU